AAGUGUGCUGCGUAGGUGCCUUAGUUUUGCAAAAACUAAUGAGAAAUUGUUUUCCGCACUUU
Molecule: transfer RNA, 62 nt
Filed under: Senga ophiocephalina
Lineage: Eukaryota; Metazoa; Platyhelminthes; Cestoda; Bothriocephalidea; Bothriocephalidae
Description: tRNA-Cys
Source: RNAcentral